Long non-coding RNA from Salvia splendens (bonfire salvia), 548 nucleotides. RefSeq lists it as uncharacterized. The transcript is spliced from 2 exons. Lineage: Eukaryota; Viridiplantae; Streptophyta; Magnoliopsida; Lamiales; Lamiaceae. The record is from RefSeq and is a predicted model, not a curated record.
GAGUUGAUUUUAGCCUCAUAGUUAAAAUCUAUAUAACACGGAUACUUCACUUUGUUGCCGUAUCGCGUAUCGGAUACGUAUCCGAUACCGAUACGCGACGGAUACGCGACGGAUACGUAUCCUGGGCGUAUCCGCGGGAUGGGCCGUAUUGGGCCGGGAAACCUCAGAUUCGAUACGUAUCUCGGUGGAUACGGCCCAGUUUAAAGCCCAUCUAAAGGAGCCGGCCCGAUAGAAUUAACGGGCUGGACCAAAAAGCCCAUUUGUGAUGUAGCCCAUUGCAGCUGGAUGAACAAAUCUAGCUCUAUAAAUAAUGAUGCUCUAUACAAUAUAAGAUUCCACACAAUUGAGAAAGCCGCAGCUAGGUCAAAAACUCCCCGCCUCCAUAGAUUCGCAGUAUGGCAUCUCCAAAUCUGAGUGCUACUGCUGCUAGUUCUAUCAUGUUAUUUUGAGUGUAAUAGACCUUUAAUGUCUCUAUGUUGAAUUAGAAUAUCUAUUUUGUAAUUUAUUUUGCACUAUUAUUAUUUAUUAAAAAAAAUAGUUAAAACGUA